Molecule: ribosomal RNA, 253 nt
Filed under: uncultured bacterium
Lineage: Bacteria
Description: partial 16S ribosomal RNA
Rfam family: Bacterial small subunit ribosomal RNA
Source: RNAcentral
UACGUAGGGGGCAAGCGUUGUCCGGAAUCAUUGGGCGUAAAGCGCGUGUAGGCGGCUCGAUAAGUCUGCUGUGAAAGUCCAGGGCUCAACCCUGAAUCGGCCGUCGAUACUCCUGGGCUCGAGCACUGUAGAGGCAGAUGGAAUUCCGGGUGUAGCGGUGGAAUGCGUAGAGAUCCGGAAGAACACCGGUGGCGAAGGCGGUCUGCUGGGCAGUUGCUGACACUGAGGCGCGACAGCGUGGGGAGCAAACAGG